This is a small nucleolar RNA of Dendrobium catenatum, 85 nucleotides long. RefSeq annotates it as small nucleolar RNA Z221/R21b. Lineage: Eukaryota; Viridiplantae; Streptophyta; Magnoliopsida; Asparagales; Orchidaceae. The record is from RefSeq and is a predicted model, not a curated record. The transcript has a single exon.
GGGCAGUGAUGAAGAUUAUAGUCAUGCACCACUCUGAGAAUUUUCUCAGUGAUGAUACUGUACUAUUACCCAUCUAUCUGAGCCU